Molecule: transfer RNA, 36 nt
Filed under: Trichobius major
Lineage: Eukaryota; Metazoa; Arthropoda; Insecta; Diptera; Streblidae
Description: partial tRNA-Met
Source: RNAcentral
UACCCCACUUAUAAAGGUCAAAUCCUUUUCUUUUUA